UCAAAGAAUCCAUCCGAUCGAGAGGAGAGAAGAGAAGAGAGAGACGAAAACAAAAAGAAAAAAAAUUCACAAAACCUUUCUUUCAUUUUCCCGUCACUUUCUCGGAAGGAUUCGUCGUUUCUCUCUUGCCAUCAUCCUCCUCACGAACAAUCGAGAAAGAGUCAUCCUGCCACGGAGAACUACUAAUCCCAAACUACCAUUACCUUCUCUCGAUAAGUUGACCCCGACGAAUCCGCCUGUAGAAAUGGCUAGCCAAGGCGGGUCAUCAAGACGGAGCUUAUCCGUAACGACUUCGUCUUUGCACGGGAAGAAGAAAUCCAUGGAACUCGGCGAGCGAGGCCUCGACACUGGCCGGAGAUCUCUAACUGUUUCGCGUUCCCCUUUGGGUUUAACGGGAGGAGAGCGAACUGUUAAACGCUUAAGGCUAUCGAAAGCCAUUACAGUUCCAGCAACGACUACUAUCUAUGAUGCUUGUAAAAACAUGGCUUCGAGGAAAGUUGACGCCUUGUUGUUGACCGACUCUAAUGAAAUGCUUUGUGGGAUUCUUACUGACAGGGACAUAGCCACAAGGGUGAUAUCGCAGGAAGUUAAUGUGGAGGAAACACCUGUGUCCAAGGUUAUGACUAGGAACCCAAUGUUCGUUCUUUCUGAGACACUUGCUGUUGACGCUCUUCAGAAGAUGGUCCUAGGGAAAUUCAGACAUCUGCCUGUUGUUGAAAAUGGCGAAGUGAUUGCUCUACUUGAUAUAGCCAAGUGUCUGUAUGAUGCGAUUGCUCGUAUGGAGAGGGCAGCUGAGAAAGGUAAGGCAAUAGCUGCUGCUGUAGAAGGUGUUGAAAGAAGUUGGGGAACAAACACUUCAGUUCACAACACUUUCAUUGAAACGCUUCGAGACCGGAUGUUUAGACCUUCUUUAUCAACAAUUAUACCAGAUGAUUCAAAGGUUUUGAAAGUCUCACCAGCCGAUACAGUAUUGACUGUAGCAAAGAAGAUGGUUGAACUUCAGUCAAGCUGUGCAGUCGUGAUGAUCGAGGACAAGCUUGGAGGGAUAUUUACUUCCAAGGAUAUACUGAUGCGGGUCGUGGCUGAAAAUCUUCCUCCAUCUGAGACUACAAUGGAACAGGUUAUGACUCAGAAUCCAGAAUCUACGUCAGUUGACACACCAAUCGUUGAAGCUCUGCACAUCAUGCACGAGGGGAAAUUUCUACACCUUCCUGUUACGGACAAAGAAGGAGAUGUAGUUGCAGUUGUCGAUGUAAUCCAUGUAACUCACGCUGCUGUCGCCACAGCUGGAACUACUGCGGGAAUAGGUAACGAAGCAACAAACACAAUGAUGCAAACGUUUUGGGAUUCAGCAAUGGCAUUGUCUCCUAAUGAGGAAGACGAGGACACGAGAAGUGAAAGCUCUUUGAAAGUUGCUUCUGAAGCUGAGACAGGAAAAUCCUUACCUUUGCCAAAUAAAUUUUCUUUCAAGAUCGAAGACAAGAAGCACAGAAUGCACAGAUUCAUAAGUGACACUCGUAGUUUGACAGAAGUGGUAACCGCGAUACUUCAAAGACUAGGGGAUGAUAUCGAUCCAGACCACAUACCCCAAAUUUUUUAUGAAGAUGAAGACCACGAUAAAGUGUUGUUGGCUUCAGAUAGUGACCUUCAAGCAGCUAUAGACCAUGCAAAAUCAAUUGGCUGGAAGAGUCUGAGAUUACAUUUAGAUGAUUCAAGAAAAGGCAAAGUAAGAAGAAGAAGAGCAACGGUUUCGGCAGAAGCAAUGGAGUAUGUUGAGAGAGACGGUUGGGGUGCUACUUACAGUGGAGUAGCGGCUGGUGCAGCAUUAGUAGCUGGUCUUGGUUUUAUGGCUUAUCUCAAGAGAGCCGGACAGUGACUCCUCAGAGAGACAAUCAAGUUCUCUUACAGAUCGAUACAAACAAAACAAAAAAGUGUGACGCAACUGAAAACACAGAGAUGAACACACAUUAUAGAUCCUUCAGCUAAACCUAAUGGUUAGUAACACCAUUAUGUUCAUUACCUUCUGAGAAUUGGGAAUCGCAACAAGAACAGCACGAAGAGAAGUCACGGAGUUCUUAUACCGAACACUAGCUUCAUCCAGAGCACUAUUCCCACUUCCUCCGCCCCCGCCACCACCAGAUUCCGAAUGAUGCGGUGCUCCGUCAAUCGCAGCCGCGUCGGCGGUAACGAUAGCCGUACCGUUAGAACUCGCGGUGGCUGGUGUAGACCACGAAGAAGGAU
This is an RNA transcript of Brassica oleracea var. oleracea, 2241 nucleotides long. It is a transcript of the gene named CBS domain-containing protein CBSCBSPB1, with no coding region annotated. The record is from RefSeq and is a predicted model, not a curated record. Lineage: Eukaryota; Viridiplantae; Streptophyta; Magnoliopsida; Brassicales; Brassicaceae. The transcript is spliced from 16 exons.